AGGAUCAUUAUUGAAAUAAACCUGAUGAGUUGCUGCUGGUUCUCCAGGGAGCAUGUGCACACUUGUCAUCUUUAUAUCUCCACCUGUGCACCUUUUGUAGACCUGGAUAUCUCUCUGAACGCUAGUCGUUCAGGACUGAGGAUUGAUAUCAUGUCUCUCCUUACAUCUYCAGGCCUAUGUUUCUUCAUAUACCCCAAUKNAUGUCAUAGAAUGUAAUCAAUGGCCUUUGUGCCUAUAAACCUAUACAACUUUCAGCAACGGAUCUCUUGGCUCUCGCAUCGAUGAAGAACGCAGCGAAAUGCGAUAAGUAAUGUGAAUUGCAGAAUUCAGUGAAUCAUCGAAUYUUUGAACGCACCUUGCGCUCCUUGGUAUUCCGAGGAGCAUGCCUGUUUGAGUGUCAUUAAUAUAUCAACCUCUUCAGCUUUUGCUUGUUGAGUGUUGGAUGUGGGGGUCUUUUUGCUGGYCUUCCCAGGUCAGCUCCCCUGAAAUGCAUUAGCGGAACAAUUUGUGGACCGUUCAUUGGUGUGAUAACUAUCUACGCUAUUGACGUGAAGCAGUUCAGCUUCUAACAGUCCAUUCACUUGGACAAAUUUUCAUUAAUGUGACCUCAAAU
RNAcentral lists this ribosomal RNA (613 nucleotides) under Phlegmacium sobrium. RNAcentral's name for it is "eukaryotic LSU rRNA". The stretch from base 247 to 400 matches the Rfam family "5.8S ribosomal RNA". The record is from RNAcentral. Lineage: Eukaryota; Fungi; Basidiomycota; Agaricomycetes; Agaricales; Cortinariaceae.